UGAGAGGAAUCUUAUGGCGUAACGGUGUCGAACCGUGUCAGGUCCGGGAGGAAGCAGCACUAAGGCAUUCAUUACGGGUAUACGAUCUUACCUCUUUGGU
This 100-nucleotide signal recognition particle RNA is filed under the name Fusobacterium hominis. RNAcentral's name for it is "Bacterial small signal recognition particle RNA". It matches the Rfam family "Bacterial small signal recognition particle RNA". Rfam says of the family: The signal recognition particle (SRP) is a universally conserved ribonucleoprotein involved in the co-translational targeting of proteins to membranes. Archaeal SRP consists of a 7S RNA and homologues of the eukaryotic SRP19 and SRP54 proteins. The record is from Rfam by way of RNAcentral. Lineage: Bacteria; Fusobacteriati; Fusobacteriota; Fusobacteriia; Fusobacteriales; Fusobacteriaceae.